AAAAAAAAAAAAAAAGCAUUAGAAAGGAAAAACCAAAAAGAAAACCAAGAAAAAGAAGCAAGAAGAUUCUGAAUACCAAAUUAACCACAGCCAUAGUUUACAUCUGGCUUUGCAGCCAAUGAUUCAAAAGGAAUUGCAACCCUUUCUUUCACAACGCAUCGAGCUUCCUCACCUUCCAUAACAAGUACUCUUCCGGGUGGACAUUCAAUGUGUCUCUUUUCUUUAGCUGUUGGCUGCUGAAACAAGCCCACAAACUUAAAAGGUAUACUUCUUUUCCCAAGACUAGGUCCAACACCAGACAGGCUUAACACUGAUAUCACACCAACAAAAGUAAUCACUGUCUUAGCUGCUGCACCAACGAAAUGUCUCAACCCCCUGCUUGAAUUUUCGGACACAGUCUCUGCCUUAUUUCUCUCCAACUCAUUCAGAUUAUUCUUUGCUUCACCAGUGAUUACCCCAUUCCGCAUAGACUUGCGUGUCGAAGGAAAGUGUGGCAGAUAGUGAUUGUCAACAACAAGGGACUGUGGAGGAUGGCUUGGAUAAGGUGGAAGUAAAAGGUCAUUGUUAUGCUCCACUGUUUCACCAGCAAAAGCAGAAGCUUCCUGUAUUACUUCCAACUCUUCCCCUUCGUACUCCUUUAGCUUAUCCAAUAACAUCUUGCGGCUCUGCUCAAUCUCGCUGAGGGCAACUUCUUUCUCAUAACGUUGCUGUUGCUGCAAAUCCUGCAAGUUGGAGAGCUGGUGCUCAAGGGAUUCAAGAGCAUCGCGGAUUAUAAAAAGCCUCUCAGUCUCUUCAUCUUCUUUGUCUGCUUCACUCAGUGACCCCCCAUUAAGAGACUGAGAAUUAGGGUUCUUUUCCUUCUCUCCCUUCACAAUCACACCCUCUUCAACACAUUCUUUUUCUUGUUUGUUUUGCUUAGAAGAAAUAGAGUUGCCACUGGUAUUGUUGAUGCUGGUGCUUGGUUUGUGGAUGCAAUUGCUGAUCUUCAACCUCAACUCUAUGGCUCUAGCCAAUACCACCUCCACUCCCUCUUCUUCCAUUGCUGUUCUCUCUCCUUCUCUUCCCUCGCUAUCCUUCUACGUGGGUAUCGCAUACACUAGAAAAAGAAAUGUACUUUGGACUUGGUGGUGAUUGUAUUUUGAUGGGUUUUGAGAUCAAAGUUUGUUUGUCUGUAUCAUGUAGCAGAACCGCGAACAGGGACGUUCUGGGGUUUGGGCUUUUUAUGCCAUUUUUAAGUGAUUGUGGUGCACUCUCAGCAGAUAGAUCUCUCACUGUUUCUGUUGUUUUUGGCAAAACUAACUUUCUUUCCCCUCCCCCGAAUCAAAGCCUUUGAACUUUCCUUUGCUACAGUAAGAG
This 1356-nucleotide unclassified non-coding RNA is filed under the name Hevea brasiliensis (rubber tree). Lineage: Eukaryota; Viridiplantae; Streptophyta; Magnoliopsida; Malpighiales; Euphorbiaceae. The record is from RNAcentral.